UUUCUCUGCCCAUUAUCCCCACAACUCAGUCUCCUAGAAACCUGGUAGUGCUCUCAAAUUCAGUUAAUGCUUGCAAUCAGUUGACGACGGUUCCCCACGCUCCCGUAAUUGUUGGUCUGAUGAAUCUGUUCUCACCCACCUAUAAAUCUGUCGUCGCAUCUCUACAAUAAUUAUGAAUUGCCAGAUCAAAAGGAAAAAAUAGGUGAAUGAAGAUAGUAGACACGUCCCUACGAUUGAAGGAGCGAGCAGGGUUUGAUUAGAAAUAUUUGAAACCUUGAGCAGAAGAAACCAAAAUAGCUUUCUCCAAAGUCAACGAAAUCGUUUCCUCAAAUCCCCUCCUCAUAUCCAGGUUUCCCCUCUUUCCAUUAUGAUUAUGAUUCAAUAUUUUAGAUUUUGUUUAUGUUGUUUUGGUUAUCCACUUUCGU
Molecule: long non-coding RNA, 425 nt
Filed under: Helianthus annuus (common sunflower)
Lineage: Eukaryota; Viridiplantae; Streptophyta; Magnoliopsida; Asterales; Asteraceae
Source: RNAcentral